Phragmites australis (common reed) is the source of this 610-nucleotide long non-coding RNA. RefSeq lists it as uncharacterized. Lineage: Eukaryota; Viridiplantae; Streptophyta; Magnoliopsida; Poales; Poaceae. The transcript has 3 exons. The record is from RefSeq and is a predicted model, not a curated record.
UAACCGUUUUCUUAGGAACUCAAUGGUGAAAGAUAAGCUGCCGUAGUAGCCGUCCGAUCCGAACAAAAGGGUACCGAGAUAUCUCCAUCGUCCUUCUAGCUCAGGUCAUGACAGAAGCCAAUGCAGGCGCACCGCUUGUAUUCUCAGUGCCGCCAAGGCAUAGCCGUUCGCGCUGCGCGUCGGCCUGAGCCCAUGGUACCCUUCGCAGCUGAACCUGAGCAUCAACGUGCCUGUGGACGCUAUCGUCGUUGCCGACAUCCUCAAUGACUCCUCCCUCGCGCUCGCCAAAGUCAUCAGCAAGCCCGAAUCCGAGUUGUGGAAUGGAGAGGGUCAGCACAAUGAAUUUCUCGGGUACCAGGGACCUAUCAGAAAGACAAGUGAUAUGGCUAAGUUUCUUAGAAACUUUAGAAAUCAGAUGUUACCAAAUAAGGUUAAUUGCUAAUAAGUUUAUGACAGUAAUGUACACCUACAUUUGUUUGAUGCAAGGGCACAGCCAGUUUGAUUUAGCACAGGAUCACCACAGGGGUUGUAUUAUCAAUUCCACAUUUUUAAUUAAACAAGUUCCUGGACUGUGAUAUUCUUACUACUAGGUAAUCCUUGUUACCAAUUU